Gasterosteus aculeatus aculeatus (three-spined stickleback) is the source of this 2684-nucleotide long non-coding RNA. The record is from Ensembl. Lineage: Eukaryota; Metazoa; Chordata; Actinopteri; Perciformes; Gasterosteidae.
UUUCCCGUGGCUUCUCCUGCCCGUGGCUUCACCUUUCUGUGGCCUUCCUUCCUGUGGCUCCCCCGCUGUGGCCUUCCUUCUCUGGGGCCUUUAUAGCAGCUGUGUUAAUUGGAGAGGGGAGGUCCUUUCAUUGUGUAAUGUGGUUGGCCAGGGCUCUCUGUAAUUGAUUAGUCCCUCCAGGUGCAUGUAAUUUACUAAAAGGUGGGUUAAUAUGUAAAAAAAUGUAAUAAAACAAACCAUGCAAAAAUGUAAUAAAACAAACCACGCUAAAAUGUAAAAACAAGCCAUGCUAAAAGGUUAUAAAACAAGCCACGCUAAAAUGUAAUAAAACAAGCCACGCUAAAAUGUAAAAACAAGCCAUGCUAAAAUGCAAAACCAAUAAUUUACAGAAACCACAAUGUCCCCCUGCUGACACAAUAACUAAUCUACAAGUAAAAGUUAAAGUGGUCACCAAAAGAACUAUUUGAGCAACCGUAUUUAGUUAAAAAAUGUAUUAAUUAUUAAUAAAUACAGGGGUGUUAACAUCUUUUCUUUGACAUGAGUAGGACAAACUUUGUUUUAAUUUCAUACAUCAGCCCUGUGUAGAUCAUCUGGUCUCGUGGUUGUCUAUUCCACACACGGAGCACGGUUAAUGAGACGGGCUCGGGUGGGUUGCUACGGACCCCGUGCACUGAGGACAGAGCGCUCCCCUGGCAGUUGUGCCCUGAGCCCUGUUGAACCCGGCAGUUAAAAGUGAGCAUACGGUGCACGGCCCUUGGAAGCGAUGAGGCGUGCUGCAACGCUCUCAGGCGUGAGCUGCGUUGCCCCCCGACCUUUUCAAGCCGCCGUAUCAUAGCGGGUCAAUGACACCAAUGGAGGAAAUGCUCCUGGUGAGGCCCAGCCAGCGGGAAAGGAUCAACUAAUCUGAGUGGACCAUGCGGAGGCAGAAAUGAUUUAUACCUUGUGUAUUAAAUGUCUGUACUAACGCUACGCUGCAUUUAUAUUAACUGUGUGGCCGUGUUCUCUACUUCUUAUCCAAUAACUGGCAUUCCUCGUUUGUGUUUUGUUUUAUUUUUCUAUUUUUUCAUUGACCAGUUUUGAGCUACUGGCUUCCACAUCUGCAUAAAAGGGCGAGUGUGAACAACAACUGUGUGAUUUUGAAAACACUCUUUAGCCCUGCACAAGCAACAAAGGUGUUUGUUAGGACAAAGCCCCAAAAAGGAUAUUCCUUUCCAGAUGUUUACUUUGAGUCUCCCACAGCAAGUGCUCCAUUCCCUGUUAUCUGCAUGCUGAAUGAGCUCAGUGUGCCAGAUAAAUAAUAAAGAGGGAGAUACAGAGAGGUUAACUGGAAAAGCAGCAAAUAGUGUGUGUCUAUUUGCAAUGGGAUGAUAUAUUCAGUGUGUAUGCCUUGAUUUACAUAACACGGGUCAGUUAAAGGUCUGGAUAAAAAAAUGCAAUGACUUCAUGUGACAGAAAUCAUCUUUUUGCUGUCAGCUGGGAGCUGAAAGCAAAGCUUAUUACCGCUCCACGAAGCCACAGUUCUGGUUGUUCAUAUACGUUUGUGUUUGCGUGUGCCUGCAUGGUUUUACCUACACACAUAUGUUUCGAUGUAGUAAAUAUUUGCGUUUGUUUUCUAGAAUGUAAGUGAAAACACAUGUUACAUGGUGAGGAAUUAGCUAGAGAUACACUUGAAUUGUUCGGGGAUAAAUCUGCUCUUCCCCUAUAUUUUGUGGUCAACACAUUGGUCUGUUUUGAAGAUUUUACCUCUAAAUGCCUGCGUGGUUGUAUCAAACUCUCUCACUUUAACAGUUUCAGCUGUGCGUGUGUGUGUAUGUGUAGGAUAUUAGAAAUAAACCGACGACCCGGUUCAUAAAAUGAAUAAACUACAUAUAGUGUACACCAGAAUACAGCCAUGAUUCUGAAACUGUGUAAUCAAUAAAGUAAUGACAAUAUUGUAAAACCACUGUAAUUCUGCAACUGUAAUAGAAUAAUACCAACGUACAGUUAUGAUUGUAUUUGAUGUAAUGUAAUCAACUGGAAUGCAUGCAUGUAAUACUUGCGCAACAACUGAUAUUGACUAAGGGCCAUUCGAAAUCCGAGUUACAAUGAACUCACCAAAAGACCACUCCCAGAGGUGUGGACACUAACUUUCACACCUCUAAGCAUUGUUAUAAAUACCUGUAGGAACCAUUCUUCUCGAGUUCGCUGGUGGAAACAGCAGACAGGCACUAGGGAUGGUCAAAAGGACUGACCUGGGGCCUGUUGGUUGCUGAGACCAGCGGCUCCUCAGCUGAGAUGUUCUUUUUACCACAACACCAUCUCUUUUAUUAAAUACAUUUGAUUUUAACCUUUUGAUCUGCGAUGACCUCUGUCCGUCCGGCGUUUCUGUAUGUCUGUUUUGUUUUUGUGGUUGGGUGUUUUCGUGUGCAUGUGUGUGAGAAAUGUUGGCCUCGUCAUCCGUCAACAUGAGUAACACAGCACAUGUAAAGCUCGCUCACUCGCCUCUUAACUGCAUAAGAUGUACAAGCCUGGUGCUCUUUUCACAUUGACUGAAACGGAGCAGACAUGAUAUUACAUGCUACCGACAGCGCUGAGCACUUAGCAUGUUUUGGCUGUCAGAGUGUUCAUAGCUGGAAGCAGGAGUAGGCAAAGUGAAGGCAACUCAGAAUUUUUUAUCACAUGAAAAUAACUCAGCAACACUCACA